UACAGAGGGGGCAAGCGUUGUUCGGAAUUACUGGGCGUAAAGGGCGCGUAGGCGGCCUGCUAAGUCGAACGUGAAAUCCCUGGGCUCAACCCAGGAACUGCGUCCGAUACUGGUUGGCUUGAAUCCGGGAGAGGGAUGCGGAAUUCCAGGUGUAGCGGUGAAAUGCGUAGAUAUCUGGAGGAACACCGGUGGCGAAGGCGGCGUUCUGGACUGCUACUGACACUGAGGAACGAAAGCCAGGGGAGCAAACGGG
Molecule: ribosomal RNA, 253 nt
Filed under: uncultured bacterium
Lineage: Bacteria
Description: partial 16S ribosomal RNA
Rfam family: Bacterial small subunit ribosomal RNA
Source: RNAcentral